AUGCUUAGGAGGAUGUUCCAAGGUGGUCCUUCAAGGAAGCAAGGUCCCAGGCUUGCAAUACGUGAUGCUGACGAGGAACCACUAAGAGACGCUCCUGUGAGGCCUUGUGAAUGGCCGUCGGAAAAUUUUAUGAAUCAAGUGGGAAUCAAAGAAGAAUUUAGCGCAUAUUUGAGUAACGCCGGUCUUAAGGACUUUGAAGCUGACAGAUGCCCCCAGUAUCAUGAUCUCACAAGUUCAUUUGUGAGGACGUUUGAGUUUUCAUCUUCGCGUAAUUCCCCUUCAGUCAUGUUUGACCUUUAUUACAAAUCUUAUACCAUGGACUUAGAGGAUUUUACUUCUGCUUGCAAACUUCCAUCUUGGGGUAAUGUCAGGGAUCCCCGUAAAUCUGAAUAUAGAGACUUUCUUGCAAGAAUAACUGUGGGGGAAUCUAGAGAUAUAACACAAGCUACUAUAGGGAGCGUUCACUUUCCUGCUAUACAUUAUUUUGCUCUCUUCAUAGGUAGAUGCAUAAAUGCUAAGGAUGAAGCAUGUCACAUGUGUGUCCCUGACCUCAGUAUUCUCAGGAGUGUUGUGUUAGGAGACCAAUCUUAUCAUAUGGGAGCCAUUGUAGCUCGUAGGUUGCAUCAGAAUAGACAUAGCGGAGAUUUCUUUGGAGGAAUUUAUGCAACCCGCUUAGCUAAUUUUCAUGAGAUAGACAUUCGUGAGGGUGAUAUGGAAUUACCCCCUUCUUAUUUAGAUUUUGAUUCUAUGGUUUCCCACCAGUUUGUUGAGAGGACUGAACCACCUCUCCAGUUUCGAUAA
This 801-nucleotide ribosomal RNA is filed under the name Triticum aestivum (bread wheat). RNAcentral's name for it is "partial small subunit ribosomal RNA". Lineage: Eukaryota; Viridiplantae; Streptophyta; Magnoliopsida; Poales; Poaceae. The record is from RNAcentral.